GGACCAAUUUGUUGGUCGUGCCUCGGUACGUACUGGUAUUAUUGGUUUCUCCCUUCUGAAGAACCUCGAUGCCAUUAAUUUGGUGUCGUGGGGAAUCAGGACUGUUACUUUGAAAAAUUAGAGUGUUUAAAGCAAGCAUACGCUUGAAUACAUUAGCAUGGAAUAAUGAAAUAGGACGUUUGAUUCUAUUUUGUUGGUUUCUAGGAUCGACGUAAUGAUUAA
RNAcentral lists this ribosomal RNA (222 nucleotides) under uncultured Glomeromycotina. RNAcentral describes it as "partial 18S ribosomal RNA". The stretch from base 37 to 222 matches the Rfam family "Eukaryotic small subunit ribosomal RNA", at positions 684 to 872 of the family's 1831-position model. Lineage: Eukaryota; Fungi; Glomeromycota. The record is from RNAcentral.